GACGAACGCUGGCGGCGUGCUUAACACAUGCAAGUCGAACGAGAAUCUACGGAUCGAGGAUUCGUCCAAGUGAAGUAGAGGACAGUGGCGGACGGGUGAGUAACGCGUGAGGAACCUGCCUUUCAGAGGGGGACAACAGUUGGAAACGACUGCUAAUACCGCAUGACACAUUGGGGUCGCAUGGCCUUGAUGUCAAAGAUUUAUCGCUGAAAGAUGGCCUCGCGUCUGAUUAGCUAGUUGGUGAGGUAACGGCCCACCAAGGCGACGAUCAGUAGCCGGACUGAGAGGUUGACCGGCCACAUUGGGACUGAGAUACGGCCCAGACUCCUACGGGAGGCAGCAGUGGGGAAUAUUGGGCAAUGGGCGCAAGCCUGACCCAGCAACGCCGCGUGAAGGAAGAAGGCUUUCGGGUUGUAAACUUCUUUUGUCAGGGACGAGUAGAAGACGGUAC
RNAcentral lists this ribosomal RNA (451 nucleotides) under uncultured bacterium. Its description in RNAcentral is "bacterial SSU rRNA". It matches the Rfam family "Bacterial small subunit ribosomal RNA", at positions 28 to 478 of the family's 1533-position model. The record is from RNAcentral.